AGGGGGUCGGGUGCCACCAGCUUUGGUGACUCUAGAUAGCCUCGGGCCAAUCGCACACCCCCCGUGGCAGCGACGACCCAUUAGAACGUCUGCCCUAUCAACUUUUGAUGGUAGUCGCUGUGCCUACCAUGGUGACCACGGGUGAUGGGGAAUCAGGGUUCAAUUCUGUAGAGGGAGCCUGAGAAAUGGCUACCACAUUCAAGGAAGGCAGCAGGCAUGCAAAUUACCCACUCCCGACCCAAGGAGGUAGUGAUGAAACAUACCAAUACAGGACUCUUUCGAGGUCCUGUAAUUGGAAUGAGUCCACUUUAAAUCCUUUAACGAAGAUCCAUUGGAGGGCAAGUCUAGUGCCAGCAGCCGCGGUAAUUCCAGCUCCCAUAGCAUAUGUUAAAGUUGCUGCAGUUAAAAAGCUCCUAGUUGGAUCUUGGGAGCGGGCGGGCGGUCCGCCAGGACGCGAGCCACCGCCUGUCCCCGCCCCUUGCCUCUUGGCGCCCCCUCGGUGCUCUUAGCUGAGUGUCCCGCAGCCCAAAGCAUUUACUUUGAAAAAAUUAGAGUGUUCAAAGCAGGUCCGAGCCGCCUGGAUACCGCAGCUAGGAAUAAUGGAAUAGGACCGCGGUUCUAUUUUGUUGGUUUUCAGAACUGAGGCCAGGAUUAAGAGGGACGGCCGGGGGCAUUCGUAUUGUGCCGCUAGAGGUGAAAUUCUUGGACUGGCGCAGUUCAGACCAGAGUGAAAGCAUUUGCCAAGAAUGUUUUCAUUAAUCAAGAACAAAAGCCGGAGGUUCGAAGAUGAUCAGAUACCGUCGUAGUUCCGACCAUAAACGAUGCCGACUGGCGAUGUGGCGGCGUUAUUCCCAUGACCCCGCUGGGCAGCUUCCAAGAAACCAGUCUUUGGGUUUUUAGGUUCCGGGGGGAGUAUGGUUGCAAAGCUGAAACUUAAAGGAAUUGGUGGAAGGGCACCACCAGGAGUGGAGCCUGGGCUUAAUUUGACUCAACAUGGGAAAAAUCACCCGGCCCGGACAUGGACCGGAUUGACAGAUUGAUAGCUGUUUCUCUGUUCCAUGGGUGGUGGUGCAUGGCCUUAGUUGGUGGAGUGAUUUGUCUGGUUAAUUCCGAUAACCAAUGAGACUCUGGCAUGCUAACUAGUUACGUGACCCCCGAGCGGUCGGCG
This 1168-nucleotide ribosomal RNA is filed under the name Homo sapiens (human). RNAcentral describes it as "SSU rRNA". It matches the Rfam family "Eukaryotic small subunit ribosomal RNA", at positions 224 to 1383 of the family's 1831-position model. Lineage: Eukaryota; Metazoa; Chordata; Mammalia; Primates; Hominidae. The record is from RNAcentral.